UACAGAGGGUGCGAGCGUUGUUCGGAAUUACUGGGCGUAAAGCGUCUGUAGGUGGUUACGCUAGUCGGCUGUUAAAGAUCAGGGCUGAACCCUGAGCAAGCAGUCGAAACUGCGUGGCUGGAGUACGGUAGAGGCAGAGGGAAUUCCCGGUGUAGCGGUGAAAUGCGUAGAUAUCUGGAGGAACACCGGUGGCGAAGGCGGCAUCCUGGACCGGCAUUGACGCCGAGGAGCGAAAGCCAGGGGAGCAAACGGG
This 253-nucleotide ribosomal RNA is filed under the name uncultured bacterium. Its description in RNAcentral is "partial 16S ribosomal RNA". It matches the Rfam family "Bacterial small subunit ribosomal RNA", at positions 524 to 776 of the family's 1533-position model. The record is from RNAcentral.